UCCUACGGGAGGCAGCAGUGAGGAAUAUUGGUCAAUGGGCUUACGCCUGAACCAGCCAAGUCGCGUGAGGGAAGACUGCCCUAUGGGUUGUAAACCUCUUUUGUCAGGGAGCAACGCCGGCUACGUGUAGCCGGACUGAGAGUACCUGAAGAAAAAGCAUCGGCUAACUCCGUGCCAGCAGCCGCGGUAAUACGGAGGAUGCGAGCGUUAUCCGGAUUUAUUGGGUUUAAAGGGUGCGUAGGCGGUCGGAUAAGUUAGAGGUGAAAUCCCGAGGCCCAACUUCGGAAU
This 288-nucleotide ribosomal RNA is filed under the name uncultured bacterium. Its description in RNAcentral is "partial 16S ribosomal RNA". It matches the Rfam family "Bacterial small subunit ribosomal RNA", at positions 337 to 621 of the family's 1533-position model. The record is from RNAcentral.